This 130-nucleotide long non-coding RNA is filed under the name Carlito syrichta (Philippine tarsier). RNAcentral's name for it is "Myocardial infarction associated transcript exon 1 (ENSTSYG00000029371.1)". It matches the Rfam family "Myocardial infarction associated transcript exon 1". Rfam says of the family: MIAT (myocardial infarction associated transcript), also known as RNCR2 (retinal non-coding RNA 2) or Gomafu, is a noncoding RNA. Lineage: Eukaryota; Metazoa; Chordata; Mammalia; Primates; Tarsiidae. The record is from RNAcentral.
AGGGAGGGAGGCUGCGGACGAGCGCAGGGAGGAGUUUGCGGUGGGAGGCGCUUGCAGGGGCUCCCCUAGUUCUGUGCUGUGAGCCGGGGCACAAAGAGCCCUCUGCACUCGCAGGACCGCGCUCCCGAGG